RNAcentral lists this microRNA (22 nucleotides) under Cordylochernes scorpioides. Lineage: Eukaryota; Metazoa; Arthropoda; Arachnida; Pseudoscorpiones; Chernetidae. The record is from RNAcentral.
UAAGUACUUAGAGCCGCAUGAG